RNAcentral lists this ribosomal RNA (1343 nucleotides) under uncultured bacterium. Its description in RNAcentral is "16S ribosomal RNA". It matches the Rfam family "Bacterial small subunit ribosomal RNA", at positions 28 to 1378 of the family's 1533-position model. The record is from RNAcentral.
GACGAACGCUGGCGGCGUGCUUAACACAUGCAAGUCGAACGGAAAGGCCCUGCUUUUGUGGGGUGCUCGAGUGGCGAACGGGUGAGUAACACGUGAGUAACCUGCCCUUGACUUUGGGAUAACUUCAGGAAACUGGGGCUAAUACCGGAUAGGAGCUCCUGCUGCACGGUGGGGGUUGGAAAGUUUCGGCGGUUGGGGAUGGACUCGCGGCUUAUCAGCUUGUUGGUGGGGUAGUGGCUUACCAAGGCUUUGACGGGUAGCCGGCCUGAGAGGGUGACCGGCCACAUUGGGACUGAGAUACGGCCCAGACUCCUACGGGAGGCAGCAGUGGGGAAUAUUGCACAAUGGGCGGAAGCCUGAUGCAGCAACGCCGCGUGCGGGAUGACGGCCUUCGGGUUGUAAACCGCUUUCGCCUGUGACGAAGCGUGAGUGACGGUAAUGGGUAAAGAAGCACCGGCUAACUACGUGCCAGCAGCCGCGGUGAUACGUAGGGUGCGAGCGUUGUCCGGAUUUAUUGGGCGUAAAGGGCUCGUAGGUGGUUGAUCGCGUCGGAAGUGUAAUCUUGGGGCUUAACCCUGAGCGUGCUUUCGAUACGGGUUGACUUGAGGAAGGUAGGGGAGAAUGGAAUUCCUGGUGGAGCGGUGGAAUGCGCAGAUAUCAGGAGGAACACCAGUGGCGAAGGCGGUUCUCUGGGCCUUUCCUGACGCUGAGGAGCGAAAGCGUGGGGAGCGAACAGGCUUAGAUACCCUGGUAGUCCACGCUGUAAACGGUGGGUACUAGGUGUGGGGUCCAUUCCACGGGUUCCGUGCCGUAGCUAACGCUUUAAGUACCCCGCCUGGGGAGUACGGCCGCAAGGCUAAAACUCAAAGGAAUUGACGGGGCCCCGCACAAGCGGCGGAGCAUGCGGAUUAAUUCGAUGCAACGCGUAGAACCUUACCUGGGUUUGACAUGGAUCGGGAGUGCUCAGAGAUGGGUGUGCCUCUUUUGGGGUCGGUUCACAGGUGGUGCAUGCCUGUCGUCAGCUCGUGUCGUGAGAUGUUGGGUUAAGUCCCGCAACGAGCGCAACCCUUGUUCACUGUUGCCAGCACGUUAUGGUGGGGACUCAGUGGAGACCGCCGGGGUCAACUCGGAGGAAGGUGGGGAUGACGUCAAGUCCUCAUGCCCCUUAUGUCCAGGGCUUCACGCAUGCUACAAUGGCUGGUACAGAGAGUGGCGAGCCUGUGAGGGUGAGCGAAUCUCGGAAAGCCGGUCUCAGUUCGGAUUGGGGUCUGCAACUCGACCUCAUGAAGUCGGAGUCGCUAGUAAUCGCAGAUCAGCAACGCUGCGGUGAAUACGUUCCCGGG